UAGUCCGCCAACUCCGCCAUUUUGUGUUACAUCCGGUUGCGGCGUUUGGUGACGCUUUAUUUAAUAUUGUUGUUUCUGUAUUUAUAAUACUAUUAGUAAAACAGUUGAGUCGUUUUGAUUUAUUUCAUAUUCUUCUCUAAGUAAACUAAGUAAGACCAAUGAUAUAAUUCAUUUUAAUGCGUAAUAUUUGAAAACUGAGAACUGCUUAAUGUGCAAUGUCUCGCUACGGUGACUGUAAAGUUUAUGUUGGUGAUCUUGGAAACAAUGCAAGCAAACCAGAAUUAGAAGAUGCGUUUUCUUACUAUGGCCCCUUAAGAAACGUGUGGGUGGCCAGAAACCCGCCAGGAUUUGCUUUUGUCGAGUUUGAAGAUCCACGUGAUGCUGAAGAUGCAAUACGGGGCUUGGACGGACGGACGAUAUGCGGCCGGCGCGCUCGUGUAGAAAUGUCAAACGGAGGACGUGGUUAUGGAGGACGUGGACCACCUCCUCGUUCCAGGUUACCACCUCGUCCUUACGAUGACCGUUGUUAUGACUGUGGUGAUCGCGGCCACUAUGCCAGAGACUGCACUCGCCGUCGCCGCCGCAGGUUAUCAUUGGCCUGUGCGCCGAGAACGAACUCUUCAGUGUCUGCACUUCUUAUAGUCUGCGCUACGUAGCUUUCACUUCGCGCCGUGUACUCCACUAAUGUUGGCAGCAACUGUAACUUCGCUCUGUGAACUACGUAACUACAGCCUACGUGCACACUUCACUUAUUGAGAAAUACAUUGAGUGUAAUGUUCGUUCUGCGCAUCGCGACACACCUCUAUUGUAAUCACUGCGUGCACUCACCGGUCGAGGUCCCGUCGUCGCACUCGUUCUCGUUCGCCGAGGUCGGGCUCCCGCUCACGAAGCCGUUCCCGUUCCCGGUCUCGCUCCAAAGGAAGAUCAAUCUCACGUUCGAGAUCACGUUCACCAUCAAAGGAUUCA
RNA transcript from Vanessa atalanta (red admiral), 966 nucleotides. It is a transcript of the gene named serine/arginine-rich splicing factor 3-like, with no coding region annotated. The record is from RefSeq and is a predicted model, not a curated record. NCBI's taxonomy places the organism in Eukaryota, Metazoa, Arthropoda, Insecta, Lepidoptera, Nymphalidae. The transcript is spliced from 5 exons.